UGGGGAAUAUUGGACAAUGGGCGAAAGCCUGAUCCAGCCAUGCCGCGUGUGUGAAGAAGGUCUUUGGAUUGUAAAGCACUUUAAGUUGGGAGGAAGGGCAGUAAGCGAAUACCUUGCUGUUUUGACGUUACCGACAGAAUAAGCACCGGCUAACUCUGUGCCAGCAGCCGCGGUAAUACAGAGGGUGCAAGCGUUAAUCGGAAUUACUGGGCGUAAAGCGCGCGUAGGUGGUUCGUUAAGUUGAAUGUGAAAGCCCCGGGCUCAACCUGGGAACUGCAUCCAAAACUGGCGAGCUAGAGUAGGGCAGAGGGUGGUGGAAUUUCCUGUGUAGCGGUGGAAUGCGUAGAUAUAGGAAGGAACACCAGUGGCGAAGGCGACCACCUGGGCUCAUACUGACACUGAGGUGCGAAAGCGUGGGGAGCAAACAGG
This 429-nucleotide ribosomal RNA is filed under the name Pseudomonadota bacterium. RNAcentral describes it as "Proteobacteria bacterium partial 16S ribosomal RNA". It matches the Rfam family "Bacterial small subunit ribosomal RNA", at positions 355 to 776 of the family's 1533-position model. Lineage: Bacteria; Pseudomonadati; Pseudomonadota. The record is from RNAcentral.